UGUUGCCGCCCUAUCAGAGUUGCCUACUGGAAACAGCUAGUAGCAGUGGGGAAGUACUCACCCCUCGUACUCACUCUGAGGGUAUCUGGGGCAUCGAUGCAUCCCUACAAGCAACUGCCCAACAAACAGGAAAACAAAAUAGUGAGGCUCCUUGACGACAUGAUUUAUUUACAAACAUGUCUCCACAAGACAGCUUUUCAAAUGGUCCCUUUAUUCAUAUUCAAGCAUAGAAAACGAUCAGCUUGUGUGGAUGAUGAUGAUGCACAGACUGUAGGCCCAGGGCCAGGUGCAGUGCAGAAUAUCAUACAACACCUCUGCAGUUUUUUUUCCGGUGGUUUGAAUGCAACUCUCUCAGUAUUACACGAUUAUAAUGCUAUAGUUAUUAUUGAUAAUGUAUGACUCAAACUUACAUUGAGACUGGAAGCACAAUCAUCAUUAUUUGUACGAGCUUAUUUAACCUACUCUUUCGGAAUUGUUGGGAUGCACCAUUUCUGGGUGCGUGUGUGUGUGUGUGUGUGUGUGCGUGCGUGUGUGCGUGCGUGCGUGCGUGCGUGUGUGUGUGUGUGUUUUUGUGUUUGUGGGAUCAGGAUUUGAAUAUGCUCCCUUUCUGCUGUCAAGGAACAAGCCAGGUUAACUAAAUCAGAGACAAUUGAUGUAAAUGACAAUCACAGAAUUUCAUUUUUAUACACUUCUACACACUUCUACACACUUCUACACACUUCUACACGCAGUGGCACUUUUUAGGCAUCCAGCCAGUCUGGAAAAGCAUUAUUUCCAGAAACACUCUGACAUGUCACUGAAGACUAUUCUGUCAAUGGAAAUGUGUAAACCUUUAACCAAUCCACUUAUUGAGUGUGCCCCCAUGUAUUCAAGCUGAAAAAAUAUAGGCUUUAACUUUGUAAACUGUUGACUGAGCCAACAGAUACAUGUAGGACCUAUGUCUCUUUAAAGCUGAACACUUUUAAAGUGUAUAGCGUCCCAAAACAGAGGUUUUGUCCCAAAAUGGCACUCUGGAUUCAGCAGCCUUGGUUGGCCACACUAAAGUUUUAGAAACGUUUUGACAGAAAGGUGGAAAACAAAUGGGAUUUGACUAGAGGAAAGGAAAGGAAUGUCAAGACAAAGGAAUAAGCGUCUUUAGCGUCACACUUCAGAUGACCGGUGCUGCUCUUUGUGAAAAAAAAUUGAAAAGAAGAAAAAAAAAAAAAACCUAAACAUAAUAGCAACGACAGCAAAAAAAAAAAAAAAAAACACUAAAAGAUUCACAGUAUGUGCCGUUUGACCCUUUAUUAUGUGCAAUGUCAGUUUCAAAAUGAAUGUUUAAUUUCUACUUUUUUGAAGUAAUGUCUUAUAGGUUUCUGUGUAUUGACAUACUAAGAGCGAGAUCCGUGGUAGUAUACAACCGAUGUACUGUGUAAAUUAAAUGGAAAGUAUUUUUGUAUGGAAAAAAAAGGUAUCCUUUACAUUCCUUUGACAAUGGGUGGGACAGUGUAGUGUAAACGUUACGCAAACCACAUGACGGCUGGCUGAGCAUGGGCAGUUCAGUUCCAGCCACAUCUCUCAUGGCUUCCCCCCUCUCUUCUGAACACCUGCAGACAUGUCCCCAGAACAUGCCUCUAAAAACAACGCUAUGGUUUCUCCUUGAAGCCUUUUGGGGGUGUGCUGUUUUCAAAAGCAUUCCACAUGGACAUAGUUGAUAGGUCAUGUGUUGAGAGACUUCACUUUGGACAUAGUUGAUAGGUCAUGUGUUGAGAGACUUCACUUUGCAAGUCGAUAGCCAGCGGUAUUGCAAAAUAUCUGUUGGUCAUAUGGUUUAUUCGGGUCAGACAAAUUCCUGUAGCCAAUACAAUGCAAUCUAGUGACCAAAUGAACAAAAACACGAUAUAUUUUCCAACGUCAGAUGCUUCAACACUUGAUCAUUAACAAAUUCAUCUCAGUCAUCAAUAUUACUCGUCGUCAAAAACGCAAUUUCAGACUAGCUGACACAUCACAACAAUGCAGAUGAAAAACUGCACUGCUCUGUGCAUGUUCUUGGGGCAGAUAUGUGUCUGAAUCUUAAGGUCAAUUUAAAAGCUUAAAUUGGACAAUUUGGGCAAGAAAGCACUCCCAAAACAAUAUCUGAUCAGGUGAUGACAGAUCAACCAAACUUGAAUAGGACUUGGAGAAAUAAAGAACAAAAUUCUUGGUGACAUUCUUCAUCAAUCUUUGUGCUUUCGAGAGGGCUGAUGUUUGCAUGUUUGUCACCCAACUGUAUUCUCUGAAUCGCCGCGGAGUAGGUCCCCUUCUUACUCUUGCCGCACAAACCUUUCACGGCUCUUCACUUUGGCCUUGUGUCUCUGAUCAGCAGCACUGUGGAUUCAGUUCACUUUUGUAAAAUUGUAUUUUUGCUGUGAGCUAAAACUCUUCGUUUGACACUGGCACCUCCGUGAUCUGCAAAACAUCUCAGGUCUGCCUAUAGCACCUAGUCAGUUUGUGUUCUCUAUACAUCUACAUGCAGACAUAUUUUGAAUUCACUGACCAUAACUGUUUCUUGGUUAAAGAAACACAAGUGAAUGAAAAUACAGUGAGUGUUCGGUUCCCUUUUACAAACCUUCAACGACUGAGAGUGUUUAAAUUGUGUCAAUGACAGAAACCUUUCAUUUGGAUAUCUGUUUCUGUGUUGUAUCACUGAAUUUCAGUUCUCCAGAGUUGCCCUCAUUUCCCCUACUUCAUCAACUGAUUUCAGUCUUCUGUAUAAAGGAACGUUUUUUUGUGGUGUGCAUUUGGUUUUGUGUAAAAAAAAAAAAAAAGCUCCCUGUCUAUCUAUGCUACUUGUGUUUGUCAGUUGUGAUGGCUUUAGCAUUAUAAAUGCAAUGGUACUGAUUCCUCUCUCUCUCUCUCUCUCUCUCUCUCUCUCUCUCUCUCUCUCUCUCUCUUUCUCUUUAUACCUCUCUUAAAACACCUCUUUGUGAAAUGGUUGUGUGGAGCUGCACUCUUUUGUUCUUUUGUCUUUAUUUUUCACACUCUGUAUUUGCCCCUGAAUCUCCUCUACUGUUGCUUUUGUCUGUUUUCUGGUUUCUAUUUUGAAGGCCUUCGGGCUCCGUGUUCUCCACUCUGCCUCUGCGAUUAGAAGGGGUGAUGUGACCCAGUGUGUUUUCAGACGGGGAUUUUAAUCAAUGCAUCCAGCAGUACCAGGGUAGAGGAAGACUAGGAAAAACAAGACCUACCCGAAUGGCCAUUUCUGUUCAUUUGAAACAGAAGAAAAAAAACAUUGAAGAUAUUGUAAUAUAGAAUGUACAAAAAUGUUUAGAAUAUAUAGUUGUUUAUUUUAUAAGAUGUCAAAUAGAUUGAAAUACAUUUAUAUACAUUAUAUGAUUCAAAGGUUUUAAAAAAAAAAACAGAAGUAUUUUGUAACAGAAUAAUUAUUGAAGUGUCUUACUGGGGGAGGUGAAGUCUUUCUUUUCUUUAAUACAGCAGUGGGUGUUGCACAGUCAAUGAUAUUGUAUGGCUUUUCCUCUGUGUAUAUACCAUCAAAAUAAGCUUUAACAUAUUGUUAAUAUUGUUUUAAAAAGAAAUUAAUAAAAAGUUUACAUUCUGAAACACCAUGGAUAUUAAUUCUGUGAUAGUGAUAUUAAAUUAUUUUUAUUCAAUCUUGAUAAUGUGGUAUAUAAAAAUAAAUAUUUUUUAAAA
Clupea harengus (Atlantic herring) is the source of this 3666-nucleotide long non-coding RNA. Lineage: Eukaryota; Metazoa; Chordata; Actinopteri; Clupeiformes; Clupeidae. The record is from Ensembl.